RNAcentral lists this ribosomal RNA (661 nucleotides) under uncultured bacterium. Its description in RNAcentral is "bacterial SSU rRNA". It matches the Rfam family "Bacterial small subunit ribosomal RNA", at positions 812 to 1467 of the family's 1533-position model. The record is from RNAcentral.
AAUACUAGGUGUCAGGGGUAUCGACCCCCCUGGUGCCGCAGCUAACGCAAUAAGUAUUCCGCCUGGGGAGUACGGCCGCAAGGUUGAAACUCAAAGGAAUUGACGGGGGCCCGCACAAGCGGUGGAGCAUGUGCAUUAAUUCGUCACUAACCGAAGAACCUUACCAGGGUUUGACAUCUUCCGACAUCCCAUGAAAGUGGGCUUUCCCCGCAAGGGGACGGAAAGACAGGUGUUGCAUGGUUGUCGUCAGCUCGUGUCGUGAGAUGUUGGGUUAAGUCCCGCAACGAGCGCAACCCUCAUCCAAUGUUGCCAGCGUAAAGUCGGGAACUCUUUGGAAACUGCCCAUGUAAGUGGGAGGAAGGUGGGGAUGACGUCAAAUCGGCAUGGCCCUUACAUCCUGGGCUUGACACAUGCUACAAUGGCCGUUAAACAGAGCGACGCGAGACCGCGAGGUGGAGCCAAUCGCAAAAAUACGGUCUCAGUUCGGAUUGCAGGCUGCAACUCGCCUGCAUGAAGUCGGAAUCGCUAGUAACCGCAGGUCAGCUAAACUGCGGUGAAUACGUUCCCGGGCCUUGUACACACUGCCCGUCAAGUCACUUGAGUUGUCUGCAGCCGAAGUCGGUGGCUUAACCCGCAAGGGAGGGAGCUGACUAAGCUGUGG